CAGGGCAAGCGGAUAGCCGCUCCGGUUAUACCGGAGAGGAAAGUCCGGACUCCUCCUGUCCCUUAUUAGGGGCAGGGUCGCGGCAGUGGGUAAUACCCACCGGUUUGGAUUUCAAAUAUCGUUUUUGAUAUUUGAUUUUCGGAUUAGGGAAAGUGCCACAGAGACAAUACUACUCCGGUUUUACCGGAGCAAAGGUGAAAAGUGUUAAGGUGUAUAAAUUACUAAGGAUAUCCUUAAUUUAUGCUGCUUAACUCGCCCUCUGGCGACAGAGCGCGCGCGGCAAACCCUGCCUGGAGCAAGAGCAAACCUUUCGGCGAUGCCGGAAGAUGAAAAGUGGCUCGCAUGAGCCUAAAAGCAAUUUUAGGCCCAGAUAAAUGGCUAUCGUCCCAUUACGGGAUACAGAAUCCGGCUUAUAGCUUGCCUUGAUAU
Molecule: RNase P RNA, 429 nt
Filed under: Patescibacteria group bacterium
Lineage: Bacteria
Description: RNase P RNA component class A
Rfam family: Bacterial RNase P class A
About the family: Ribonuclease P (RNase P) is a ubiquitous endoribonuclease, found in archaea, bacteria and eukarya as well as chloroplasts and mitochondria. Its best characterised activity is the generation of mature 5'-ends of tRNAs by cleaving the 5'-leader elements of precursor-tRNAs. Cellular RNase Ps are ribonucleoproteins.
Source: RNAcentral